This 478-nucleotide ribosomal RNA is filed under the name uncultured bacterium. Its description in RNAcentral is "partial 16S ribosomal RNA". It matches the Rfam family "Bacterial small subunit ribosomal RNA", at positions 28 to 523 of the family's 1533-position model. The record is from RNAcentral.
GACGAACGCUGGCGGCGUGCUUAACACAUGCAAGUCGAGCGAUGAAAUCCCUUCGGGGAUGGAUUAGCGGCGGACGGGUGAGUAACACGUGGGCAACCUGCCUCAAAGUGGGGGAUAGCCUUCCGAAAGGGAGAUUAAUACCGCAUAACAUUAGUUUUUCACAUGAAGUACUAAUUAAAGGAGUAAUCCGCUUUGAGAUGGGCCCGCGGCGCAUUCGCUAGUUGGUGAGGUAACGGCUCACCAAGGCCACGAUGCGUAGCCGACCUGAGAGGGUGAUCGGCCACAUUGGAACUGAGACACGGUCCAGACUCCUACGGGAGGCAGCAGUAGGGAAUAUUGCACAAUGGGCGAAAGCCUGAUGCAGCAACGCCGCGUGAGUGAUGAAGGCCUUCGGGUUGUAAAGCUCUGUCUUUGGGGACGAUAAUGACGGUACCCAAGGAGGAAGCCACGGCUAACUACGUGCCAGCCGCCGCAGUAA